UGGGGAAUCUUGCACAAUGGGGGCAACCCUGAUGCAGCGACGCCGCGUGAGCGAUGAAGCCCUUCGGGGCGUAAAGCUCUUUCGGCCGGAACGAUAAUGACGGUACCGGGAGAAGAAGCUGCGGCUAACUACGUGCCAGCAGCCGCGGUAAUACGUAGGCAGCAAGCGUUGUUCGGAGUUACUGGGCGUAAAGAGUGCGUAGGCGGUUUUCUAAGUUCGGUGUGAAAUCUCCCGGCUUAACUGGGAGGGUGCGCCGAAGACUGGGAAGCUGGAGUGUGGGAAAGGCAGGCGGAAUUCCUGGUGUAGCGGUGAAAUGCGUAGAUAUCAGGAGGAACACCGGCGGUGUAGACGGCUUGCUAGACCAUAACUGACGCUGAGGCACGAAAGCGUGGGUAGCAAACA
RNAcentral lists this ribosomal RNA (402 nucleotides) under uncultured bacterium. RNAcentral describes it as "bacterial SSU rRNA". It matches the Rfam family "Bacterial small subunit ribosomal RNA", at positions 355 to 774 of the family's 1533-position model. The record is from RNAcentral.